GACGAACGCUGGCGGCGUGCUUAACACAUGCAAGUCGAACGGAAAGGCCCUGCUUUUGUGGGGUGCUCGAGUGGCGAACGGGUGAGUAACACGUGAGUAACCUGCCCUUGACUUUGGGAUAACUUCAGGAAACUGGGGCUAAUACAGGAUAGGAGCUCCUGCUGCAUGGUGGGGGUUGGAAAGUUUCGGCGGUUGGGGUUGGACUCGCGGCUUAUCAGCUUGUUGGUGGGGUAGUGGCUUACCAAGGCUUUGACGGGUAGCCGGCCUGAGAGGGUGACCGGCCACAUUGGGACUGAGAUACGGCCCAGACUCCUACGGGAGGCAGCAGUGGGGAAUAUUGCACAAUGGGCGGAAGCCUGAUGCAGCAACGCCGCGUGCGGGAUGACGGCCUUCGGGUUGUAAACCGCUUUCGCCUGUGACGAAGCGUGAGUGACGGUAAUGGGUAAAGAAGCACCGGCUAACUACGU
This 467-nucleotide ribosomal RNA is filed under the name uncultured bacterium. Its description in RNAcentral is "partial 16S ribosomal RNA". It matches the Rfam family "Bacterial small subunit ribosomal RNA", at positions 28 to 506 of the family's 1533-position model. The record is from RNAcentral.